Molecule: non-coding RNA, 1847 nt
Organism: Malus domestica (apple)
Lineage: Eukaryota; Viridiplantae; Streptophyta; Magnoliopsida; Rosales; Rosaceae
Source: RefSeq, a predicted model, not a curated record
UCUGGCAAGUGGCAACGGUGACGGCAAUUCCUUCGCUGCCAAAUUCCAAUUCCGCCAAAAAAAAAAAAAAUACAAUUCGCAACGGUAAAGUGCAUCGCAUGUAAACGCUUCUCGCAAGGAAGGUGGCGAUUCCGAAUAGGACCGAAUUUAAGAGCGUUUUUUAGAGAGAGAGAGGCAAUGGAGGUGGAACUGAAGGAGAUGCUGAACGACCUGGAAUCGCUGAAGAGAUCGCUGGCCGAUCCUUCUCAUCAUGCUCCAACCGAUAAGCUACAAUUCCGCGUAGAACGCCUUACGAGCCUUGCAAAGUCUGGACCUGUCCGGCGUUCAAAAGUGAAGGAUAUGAGCGCUGAGGUGGUAGAUAGCAAUCCUUACAGUAGGCUUAUGGCACUUCAGAGGAUGGGUAUUGUGGAGAACUAUGAAAGAAUACGGGAUUUCUCAGUUGCCAUUGUUGGAGUAGGCGGUGUAGGAAGUGUAGCAGCUGAGAUGCUUACAAGAUGUGGUAUUGGUCGCCUUUUGUUGUAUGAUUAUGACAAAGUAGAGUUAGCUAACAUGAAUAGGUUAUUCUUUCGACCAGAACAGAGUGGCAUGACAAAAACAGAUGCUGCUGUACAGACCCUUUCAGACAUAAAUCCCGAUGUUAUACUCGAGAGCUAUACACUGAACAUCACAACAGUGCAAGGUUUUGAUACCUUUAUGUCUAGUUUAAAAAAUAAAUCGUUUCGCCCAAAUAAAGAAGGCACUGGAAUAGACCUUGUGUUAAGCUGUGUUGAUAAUUAUGAAGCAAGAAUGGCUGUUAAUCAGGCUUGCAAUGAACUGAAUCAGACAUGGAUGGAGUCUGGUGUGUCUGAGGAUGCCGUUUCAGGCCAUAUUCAGUUGCUGAUUCCCGGUGAAACUGCAUGUUUUGCAUGUGCACCACCUUUGGUUGUAGCAUCUGGAGUGGAUGAACGUACACUUAAGCGUGAAGGGGUUUGUGCUGCAUCUUUACCUACCACUAUGGGAGUUGUUGCUGGGCUUCUAGUCCAAAAUACACUAAAAUACUUGCUGAACUUCGGAAACGUCUCCCCAUACUUGGGAUAUAAUUCUCUUAAAGACUUCUUCCCAACUAUGGAAAUGAAGCCAAACCCUCAGUGUUCUAAUUUUGCUUGUCUGGAACGGCAGAAAGAAUACUUGCUUGUAAAGCCAGCUAGGGAUGCUGCAAUUAAAGCAAAGAUGGAAGCUGAAGCAUCAUCAGUUCCGGAAUCUCCGCUUCAUCUUGAUAAUGAAUGGGAAAUAAGUGUCGUUGAUGAUACCGAGCCGGAAAGUGCAGAGGCCAAAACUUCAGAUGCACUUCCAGAAGGUCUUGUUCGCGAGCUCCCCAGUGCAGAUGAGUUCCAAAAACCGCCAACUGAAGCUACAGAGGGUACUAUCGACGACCUAGAAGAUCUUCGAAAGCAACUUGAGGCCCUAAAUUCUUGAAUACAUCGUAGACGUUCUUUUUUGAUAUAGUCCAUCCCAAUUAUUGCUUUAGCAAUCGAAAUCGACCCGUAGCUUUCGUGGUUUUAAGGUUAUAGUCACACCCAGACUUCUCACACAUCAAAGACAUGGAGGUUUCUUAAUGUUACAUUAUCUGAAAUUUCCAGUUAAAUUCUCAAAUUUAUUCUCCUCGGACUUAUGAAUCAUGUAUGCCUGUUUGGUUUGUCCUUUUGGACUUUGUUGCCUAAAUUCUCAUAAACUUCUGUCCCAACGGCUGCAUACGACUUUAGAGAGUUUUUUUUGUCAAACGAUAGAUGUUGUUAGAUUAAAUGUUAGAUUAACUACUGAUGGGGUUCAACACCUUUUCAUCACUGUAAUAAAGGCCACUUGCAUUU